This is a long non-coding RNA of Anolis carolinensis (green anole), 872 nucleotides long. RefSeq lists it as uncharacterized. The transcript has 2 exons. The record is from RefSeq and is a predicted model, not a curated record. Lineage: Eukaryota; Metazoa; Chordata; Lepidosauria; Squamata; Anolidae.
AUCUUCUUGGGAGGAAGAAGACACUGGGAGGAGGGGGGAGAGAGAGAGAAGAGAGUCACGAUUCUGGUGAUUCUUCUGGAAAUGGCCUUCUUAUUUACCAAGAGGGAGGAUUCUCCCGGCCAGGAGUCCUUGUUUACAGCGCAUGAUCCAAGACAACAAGACACUACUCUUCUCCUCCUGGGAUCCAAAGGGGAAUGAACGUCCCUCUCUCACCUGAAGGCUCAUCUCUAGAUCAAUUUAUAUGAUCCAGUCCUACAUCACUGUGAUAAAUUCCUCACUGCUCCUGGAGUCCUGUACAAACAGCAAUUUGCAAUUUAGGGGCAGAAGAUUCUAGAAGAAAGUUUUAAAAUGGGAUGUGGGUGUUUCCUGUGGACUAUUACUUCCUUUUGUCAUCAAUUAAGUCAAAAGCUCUCCAUUAUUCUGAAGACACCAACAUUUCAAAUGGGAAGUUAUACCAACUUAUGACUAUUAAUGUUUUUUUUAAUAAGGAUAAAAACACUAUAUAAAAACAGUGAGAUUCUGGAUUGUGGCAGCUCAAAUGGUGAUGGCUCAAGUGUGGAAAGCAGGACUUAAAUCAUUCAUUACUAUUUUCAUCCUAUAAGAAGAUCAAAUAUAUAGGUGCUAUGGAAAUAUAUUCCUACAUAAUAUUUUAUUAGUUAAGGGGAAAACUAAGCCAGAUGUGUUUUGUCCAAAAUAGCAUAUGUUUAUUCAGUGUUAAUGAUGUAAAUACAGUCAGUUUUUCCAAAUAAAUAUGGAGCACAAUGAUUACAAUAAAGGGAAGUUUGAAAGGAAAUGAUUACCUUGGAUAUUGUGCUUGAUUAUAAACUUUAUUUUUAUACUAUUUUAAUAAAAAUGAAGGUAGGAGACUUGAA